UACGUAGGGUGCAAGCGUUAAUCGGAAUUACUGGGCGUAAAGCGUGCGCAGGCGGCUUUGCAAGACAGAUGUGAAAUCCCCGGGCUCAACCUGGGAACUGCAUUUGUGACUGCAUGGCUAGAGUGCGGCAGAGGGGGAUGGAAUUCCGCGUGUAGCAGUGAAAUGCGUAGAUAUGCGGAGGAACACCGAUGGCGAAGGCAGCCCCCUGGGAUAACACUGACGCUCAUGCACGAAAGCGUGGGGAGCAAACAGG
Molecule: ribosomal RNA, 253 nt
Filed under: uncultured bacterium
Lineage: Bacteria
Description: partial 16S ribosomal RNA
Rfam family: Bacterial small subunit ribosomal RNA
Source: RNAcentral